This is an RNA transcript of Cucurbita moschata (crookneck pumpkin), 785 nucleotides long. RefSeq lists it as uncharacterized. The record is from RefSeq and is a predicted model, not a curated record. Lineage: Eukaryota; Viridiplantae; Streptophyta; Magnoliopsida; Cucurbitales; Cucurbitaceae. The transcript is spliced from 4 exons.
GCAAAGCCCCAACACAGCCGCAGCGUAGAAUCUGAGAAGACAAUGGCUUGGCGCUCAGGAUCUCUUUCUCGGACGCUAAUGUCGACUGUGCGCUCUUCUUCUUCCAGGUUAACUCCAUCGGCUCCUCAACUCCGGCCGCCGCCGGUCACUGCUCCUCGGCGUCUCCCGGCCCGCCAUUUCUCUGCUCCUUCCAGGAGCUUGGGAGAAUUGGGAUGCGUUCAAUCCUUUUUGCCCAUUUACAGCGUGACAGCAGCAUCCUGUUUGACAUCCCACCUCACUAUUAAUGUCAGGGCUUUUUGCGAGCUGUCUCAUGGUACCUUCUGCCGUACUUGUCAAGAUCGCUAGUGGUCUCUUUGUAAAAAUAGUCAAACAACACUAAGUAUAGGUGAUUAGCUUCUCCCACACACAGCAUUUGAGUUUGGGAUGGAAUUGAUAGGCAGGAGUGUGGAAGAUGGAUGAUGCUCAAGGACAUUCGCUCAUUCUGAGCAGGAGGCUGACACAAUGUUUUGUACUUAAAGUUCAAUGGGAUUAAACACAUCUAUGUGCGGCAAUAUGAGGGUGCAGGGGACUCUUGAAGAGUUGAUACAUCAGGAACUAUGGUCUGGAAUAGGAUAAUAAGUGUUCUUUAUAAUCAGAACUGGGAUUAAAACAUUUGCUAGAUACUCAUGGUCGAGCUGUUAUUUCUUGUUCAUCAUUGUUCACAAUGUCUGUGAUUGAUUUACAACUAAAAAGAAUUUUUAUUUGACGUAGUCUCAGUCAAAUAGUGGAUAAUAUUCUAAACUCCA